GGUUUAGCUCAGUUGGUUAGAGCAUGGUGCUACUAAUGCCAAGGUCACAGGUUUGAUCCCUGUAUGGGCCA
This is a non-coding RNA of Rhea pennata, 71 nucleotides long. The record is from the annotation of a RefSeq genome assembly. Lineage: Eukaryota; Metazoa; Chordata; Aves; Rheiformes; Rheidae.